RNAcentral lists this long non-coding RNA (3300 nucleotides) under Ananas comosus (pineapple). RNAcentral describes it as "long non-coding RNA (ACOM_LNC020422)". The record is from RNAcentral. Lineage: Eukaryota; Viridiplantae; Streptophyta; Magnoliopsida; Poales; Bromeliaceae.
AUAUUCAAAUUUGGGUCUGUCGACAGACCUAUUUUUGGACGGAAAAAUUAGCGCCCAUUUUCUCUUUCCGUAUGAAAAUUUUAAAUAUAAGAAUAAGAAUAGAAAUAGAAACAGCAAUGAAUACAUAAGUUCUCUAUAACAGAUUACUGAUGUGAAAAUUUAAAAAUAUAAAUUUUUCUAUUUAAUUUUAAAAGUAAGUUUUCUAUAACAGAUUACGGGUGUGAAAAUUCUAUAAAAGAUAUUUUCUUAUUUAUUUUAAAAUAUCUUUUUUGAUUUUAUCUAUUUAAUUUCAAAAUAUAUUUUCUUUUAAGAUAACGGAUUUUAUUUCUAUUUAAUUUUAAAAUUUUAUUUCCUAACAUAUUUUAUUUUUCUAUUUAAUUCAAAAAUAAUUUUUGCAUUAGAAAUUAUUGUUAAUUAUUUAUCAUUUAAAGCAUAUCUUUCUAAUAGCGUGAUUUAUUAUUUUAAAUUUUUAGAUACAUAUUUGGCAAUCAUAUAAAAAUGACCUGAAAUCAAAAAUAAUUUAAAAAAAUUAUAACUUCUAAUAAUUAUUAAUGCAUUUGCACAUACAUUUUACUAGUAUAGUAUAUAAUUUAUAUAUAUAUAUAUAUAUAUAUAUAUAUAUAUAUAUAUAUAUAUAUAUAUAUAUAUAUAUGUAUAUACAGCAUACAUAACAGUAUUUAUUUAAAUAAAUUAUAAAAAUAAGUAUAACUUAUAAUUGUAAAAUUAAAAUUUAAUUAUUAAAUUAUUUAGUUCGUAAACUAUUAUGAGACUUAAUUAUAGGAAAAUUAUUUUCAAUAACAAACUAUUACCGAUAAUAUUUGAAUGGCCUACUCGCGCGGUGCGUUGAAUGGACAACUUCAGUAUCAAUACUGUGUCUUUCCGAAUCUGUAAUGGCAUAUUUUCGUAAUUUGUGCAUAAUAAAUGCUUGUCAGAGGGCCUUCAACUACAGGGCGACAUUUUUUUAUUAAUAUAUUUUUACUGUUUACUUUUUUAUCUAAAUAAUUUAUCAAUAGAUUCGAUAGUUGUGAUAAACACUAAGGUAUCGUUUGGGUCGGGGAUAAGAAAAAAGUGGCUAUUCCAGGGAUAGGUAUAAAUUGAGGUAUAAGCGGGGAUUAGAUCAAUUUUGCGUUUGGAUGAAAAUUGGGUUAUUCCUGCGAAUAAAAAAAAUAACGUUUGGUUAGAUAAGAUGGAAUAAGAAAGAUAAUAAUUUUUAUAAAUAAAAAAUAAUGAUAUUAUCCACUUAUUAUAUUUGAAUUUUUUUAAGAACAUGUGUAAGAAUAACACCCAGAAGCCGCCUGUCCCCUCCACGACAGGCAAGCCGCCAGACGAACGGCGCGGGCUUAGCACGGUUUAGCCGUCGCCAAGGCCCCGCCCCGCACUGUAUUAAAAUUUUAAAUUUAAAAUUUAAAUUUAAAACUAUAAAAUUAAACUUUAAAUUUUAAACUAUAAAUUAUAAAAAAUUUAAAUUUAAACUAGAAUUUAAAUUUCAAACUUUAAAUUUAAAAUUUUAAAACUUAAAUUUUAAACUCUAAAAUUUAAAGUUUCAAUUUUAAAAUUUAAAUUUUUAUAUAUAUAAAUUUUUAAAUUUUUAAAUNNNNNNNNNNNNNNNNNNNNNNNNNAAUUUAAAUUUUAAACUUUAAUUUUGAGAUUAUAAAUUAUAAAUUUUAAAAAUUUAAAUUUUUAAUUUUUAAAAUUUUAAAAUAAGAAUAGUGGUGGGAACAAUUAAUAAAAAUAAUUUAUUAUAAUAAAUUUAUAAAUUUUUUUAAAAUUCUACUUAAACUUAAAUUUAGCAAAAAGAAUUUAUUAUAAUAUUUAAAUAUAAUUUAUUAUAAAUUUUAUUAUAAUAUUUAAAUAUAAAUCAUAUGUAAUAUAGUACAAUUAAUAAUUUUAUAAUAAAAAUAAUGUAUUAUAAUAUAUAACAUAUUAUAUUUAUAUAAUUUAGUUUAAUUCAAUUUAUAAUUUUAAUUAAGUUGAAAUUAAGCAUUGGAAUAGCACUAUUCCACCAAAAUGGUGGAAUAGCAAAUCCCUUGCUAUUCCGGGAUAACCGGGAAUAGCAAGGUUUGACCGGGAUAAAAUAUUCCAGCCAAAUUUCACUCCGUUUGGUGGAAUAGCGGGAAUAACUUUCGUUAUCCCCGCUUAUCCCGCGAUCCAAACGGGGCCUAAGUAAAUAAAACUUGAAUAAUUAAGGGUUAAUUGCUAGUAACCCUGUUAGAUUUAAUAAAAUAAUAAUUUAACUAAUACUAUAACAAAAUAUAUUUUUAACGACGCUCUAUUCCAGCGUCUUCAAUAUUUGAUAUAUGCCGACAUCAUGAUAAAGUGUCGUCAAUAAACAUAUUUUUAUCAAAUACUGAUAUAAAAUUUUCGAUGUUAUAUUAAAAUAUCGAUAUAUUAUCUCGACAUAUUUACUUAACGGUUCUUUACUCGACGCUUUUACAAGUGUCGGAGCUAUUCUUACUGAUACUUUAAAACGUCACUAAUUAUUAUUUAAAGUAUCUUUAAAUGCAAGAUUUAUUGCAAUGUAACUAAAAUAGUUCAAAUUGAAAAAAUUAACAAAUAAAGAGAUCAACAAAUGAAGAAGUAUCGACCAACCUAUUUCAAAAUAUUCUAUAUAUAUUUGAGAGCUCUUCAGUCCAAUGUAAUCAAAAUAAUUGUAGUUAAUCUAUGCGGCGACGGGAUAAGCUUCAUGCACAGUAAGUUUUUGGACGUAUUAGAAGCAGUUUAUUAUAACUAUUAUUAUUAUCCUUCUAUAUAUAAUGUCUCACCAACUACACAAACAACAACAUGGUUGUAUAUUUUAUAUACACAAGUUGGGGACAAAACUUAAAUGGAAGGAUCCCAAAUUUUAUUGAGAAGAUCUACAAAAUCUGCUGUUAUAUGUUUAUAUAUACAGUAUGUAUCUUUAAAAAAGAGCUAAUAAAAAUCGGCAAAAAAAUCCGAUCCGCUUUAUUAUUUUCGGAUACAUUACUUAAAAAAAUGAAGCCAAAAUCUACAUCUUAAGAAAGAUUAUAGAGUUACAACGUCCAAUUUAAGUAUUAUAAUCUCGCCCCUAAAAUUUAUACAAUUCGUUUUGUAUUCUAAUAUAUAAAAGAUAGUGAUGUUAAUUAUUACUCUACAGUAAGUUUGGACUAUUGGAAGCACUUGUUGUAACUGUUAUGAGAAAUUAAUGAUCAGCUACUUUAUUUUAUAAUUAAAAAAAAAAUCUUAACAGCUGAUAAAUGAAAGUUAAAAAUGUUAUUUUAUUAUGUAGCAGGUUAAAAGAUUAUUUCAUGUGAGGAUAUUCUUGUAAUUAAACUAGACAAA